GCUUUAUGCGCUUUGGGAGGGGCCUGCGUAACAUUAGCUAGUUGGUGAGGUAAAAGCUCACCAAGGCUUCGAUGUUUAACUGGUUUGAGAGGAUGACCAGUCACACUGGGACUGAGAUACGGCCCAGACUCCUACGGGAGGCAGCAGUAAGGAAUCUUCCACAAUGGGGCAACCCUGAUGGAGCAAUACCGCGUGCAGGAUGAAGCGUUUCGGCGUGUAAACUGCUUUUAUCACCGAAGAUUAUGACUGUAGGUGAAGAAUAAGGACCGGCUAACUACGUG
RNAcentral lists this ribosomal RNA (281 nucleotides) under uncultured bacterium. RNAcentral describes it as "partial 16S ribosomal RNA". It matches the Rfam family "Bacterial small subunit ribosomal RNA", at positions 208 to 507 of the family's 1533-position model. The record is from RNAcentral.